CAGCCGCCACGGUAAGACAGAGGAUGCAAGCGUUAUCCGGAAUGAUUGGGCGUAAAGCGUCUGUAAGCGGCUUUUCAAGUCCGCCGUCAAAUCCCAGGGCUCAACCCUGGGCAGGCGGUGGAAACUACCAAGCUAGAGUGCGGCAGAGGGGGAUGGAAUUCCGCGUGUAGCAGUGAAAUGCGUAGAUAUGCGGAGGAACACCGAUGGCGAAGGCAAUCCCCUGGGCCUGCACUGACGCUGAGGAGCGAAAGCGUGGGGAGCGAACAGGAUUAGAUACCCCAGUAGUCCUUGUCUCUUAUAC
Molecule: ribosomal RNA, 301 nt
Filed under: uncultured bacterium
Lineage: Bacteria
Description: partial 16S ribosomal RNA
Rfam family: Bacterial small subunit ribosomal RNA
Source: RNAcentral